RNAcentral lists this long non-coding RNA (208 nucleotides) under Lathyrus oleraceus (garden pea). Its description in RNAcentral is "Pisum sativum (pea) long non-coding RNA (PSAT_LNC000059)". Lineage: Eukaryota; Viridiplantae; Streptophyta; Magnoliopsida; Fabales; Fabaceae. The record is from RNAcentral.
ACACCAACAUACUUAAACAAAAACAUCCACAAUAAUCCAAACAACAACAUUUAUCAACAAAAACAAAAACUUACAAUAAGAAAACAACACACCUCAAUAAAAACUUCAACAUACCUCAACAAAAACAUCUACAAUAAUAAAAACAAUAACUUACCUUAAUAAAACAGUAACAUACCUCAACAAAAACAUCAAUACAACUUAUCAAAAC